AAACAACUCUACGCAUUGUUUACAUCACGUUCAGGCUCGGGCUUUAGUCUGUGUAUCAAGAAUGGCAAAGCCCCGCGCUCCCUCCUUCCAGGCUUCGCGGCAGAUGUCCCCAAUCUGGCACGAUGGCGCUCCUUCCUGCUAAACCGAAGCCAAACCUUGGAAUUCUCUACUCAGGUUUCAAGGGGCCACGCCCAGCUUUUUAGUGUUAGUACAUGGAAGAAGUAUAUAUUCAUCGUCUUUGCUUACACUGAAAGGAAACUGCAUUUUUAAAAAGAGAGUGAUGAAGAUUUGAUCGCUGGGAGGAUUAUUUGAAGCAGCGCACUGCACAGGAAGAAGGGGGGAGCCCUGAAUUAGGAAACGGAGUGCUUUAUAGGGGUCAUGAAAGAUUAUUGCACCUGAGGGACUGAAGACCAUAUGAAGAAGAACACGAAACAAGAGAACAAAAAAAACCCCACAACUUUACUCAAAUAGAAACCUCAUUUAAUGUUCACUUUUUUUCUCAGUGAAAUGAAAACUGAGUUAAGUGCCAGAGAACACUGAUAUUGAUGUUGUUAGAAAAACUUUGGUAUAAUCAUAAAGCCUUAUGUCUUCUGCACUACACAGCCUUUUUUAUAUCAUUUAAUGUGUAUUAAAACAUGCUGAGACAAUGGAAAAGAAAGAAAACAUUAUGUAGAAACCAAGAGAAAAAAAAACAGUGAGGAAAAACCUUAUAGUAAGACUUUACAAAAAUUUUCAGGCAAUUCUUAUCAAUUGCCUUCACUAAACCCAUAAGUAAUGUGGUCAA
Molecule: long non-coding RNA, 784 nt
Organism: Ochotona curzoniae (black-lipped pika)
Lineage: Eukaryota; Metazoa; Chordata; Mammalia; Lagomorpha; Ochotonidae
Exons: 2
Source: RefSeq, a predicted model, not a curated record